Molecule: ribosomal RNA, 254 nt
Filed under: uncultured bacterium
Lineage: Bacteria
Also listed under: 1 other name
Description: partial 16S ribosomal RNA
Rfam family: Bacterial small subunit ribosomal RNA
Source: RNAcentral
UACGUAGGGGGCGAGCGUUGUCCGAAGUUACUGGGCGUAAAGCGCGCGUAGGCGGUUUCUUAAGUCUGAGGUGAAAGGUUCAACGCUCAACGUGAACAGUGCCUUGGAUACUGGGAGACUUGAGUAUGGGAGAGGGCAGUGGAAUGGCUGGUGUAGCGGUGAAAUGCGUAGAUAUCAGUCGGAACACCCAUGGCGAAGGCAGCUGCCUGGCCUAAUACUGACGCUGAGGUGCGAAAGCGUGGGGAGCGAACGGG